CCUAAACAGAGGGUAUGGGUACUCACAGUGCUCAGAGCCAUCGCUGUGCCCUGGUGCUGUGCUGUCUGUCCUGUAAGCAGUGUGCUGUAGCUGCUCUGGCAGUUUCCUUGCUGCCCUCUGGCAGCACUGCCCGGCUCCCACCCGGCUGACACACAAAGAUGGUGUGUAUGCAAUGCUGAUGGGGAGGAUCAGCCCAUGCCCUGUGCAGUGGGCAGAGGAAUGUGACAGAGCCACCAGUCCUUGGCACUGGGGUUAUCCACCGUGGCACCAUAGCCCUGCAGUGCUGCCACCUGUUACCACACUUGAGCUAAGGAGGCUGUCCCAGCUGGUGCUCCUGAGGCUGCCCAGGGUGCAGUCCAAGCCUUGCAUUUGCUCUAUAGGUUGAAUUUGGGGCUGCAAAAUAAACCACUGUGUUGAGUUCUUUGGCUGCACGCCUGUGACCUUUUCAUCCCGUGUAGCUGCUGUAUUUCCCAUGUGUUUGCAGCACUCUUCGCAGUCUCCUCCCUGAUCUGUGUCCCUGUGUGCCAGAAGCAUCGCUCAGUGAGACUUAAACAAGAAAUACCUUGUGCUACACUGCCACUUGUGCACCCUUGUUUGACUGAUGCUUGAUCCUGUCUGCUGGGAAGGCUGGCUGAAUGGAGGCAGACCCAUCUCCUCUUUCUCUCCUCUGGAACGUGCUUUCAGUCUGCUGCUGCAGUGCAGGUACCAAUAACAGAGGAAGAGGCAGAAGGUGCCCUGUGGUUUGCCGUUAGGGGCUGCUAGAAGCUGGUGAUGAGCAGCUGCUCCUGCAGUGUCAGGGAAUUCCUGCAGUGUGUGUGUUUAUGGGCACGGCAGGGUGGUGUGUGUGUGUGGGAUGGAGGCAGGAUUGCAGGUGGGGCAUUAAUGUUGGUGCUUUCCUCCCUUCUGCCACCUUCACACAGUUCUUUCCAGAUGCUCUAUCAGAAAUGUCUUCU
This 953-nucleotide long non-coding RNA is filed under the name Gallus gallus (chicken). RNAcentral's name for it is "long non-coding RNA NONGGAT005604". The record is from RNAcentral. Lineage: Eukaryota; Metazoa; Chordata; Aves; Galliformes; Phasianidae.